GACGAAGGAUGCAAGCGUUAUCCGGAUUCAUUGGGCUUAAAGGGCGCGUAGGUGGCCUUAUAAGUCAGCGGUGAAAUCUCUGGGCUUAACCCAGAAAUUGCCAUUGAUACUGUAGGGCUUGAGUACAGUUGCUGUGGGCGGAAUAUGACAUGUAGUGGUGAAAUACAUAGAGAUGUCAUAGAACACCGAUUGCGAAGGCAGCUCACAAAACUGUAACUGACACUGAGGCUCGAAAGUGCGGGGAUCAAACAGG
Molecule: ribosomal RNA, 253 nt
Filed under: uncultured bacterium
Lineage: Bacteria
Description: partial 16S ribosomal RNA
Rfam family: Bacterial small subunit ribosomal RNA
Source: RNAcentral